RNAcentral lists this ribosomal RNA (503 nucleotides) under uncultured bacterium. RNAcentral describes it as "partial 16S ribosomal RNA". It matches the Rfam family "Bacterial small subunit ribosomal RNA", at positions 31 to 523 of the family's 1533-position model. The record is from RNAcentral.
AAAGAACGCUGGCGGCACGUUUUAAGCAUGCAAGUCGAACGGCAGUGGGGGCAACCCCAUGAGAGUGGCGAACGGGUGAGUAACACGCAGGUGAUCUGCCUUUGGUUUGGGGAUAGCUUGUGGAAACACAGGGUAAUACCGAAUGAGUUGACGAGGCAUUGGCCACGUUAGUAAAGGUGCUACGGCCCCGACGAGAGAGGAGCCUGCGGCUGAUUGGCUAGGUGGUGGGGUAAAGGCCUACCAAGGCGACGAUCAGUAGCCGGCCCGAGAGGGUGUACGGCCACACGGGCACUGAGACACGGUCCAGACUCCUACGGGAGGCAGCAGCUAAGAAUCUUCCGCAAUGGGCGAAAGCCUGACGGAGCGAUGCCGCGUGAUCGAUGAAGGUCGAGAGAUUGUAAAGAUCUUUUCCAACUGAGGAAUAAGUGGACCAGUUAAUGGGUUCAUGAUGACGUUAAGUUGGGAAUAAGCCCCGGCUAAUUACGUGCCAGCAGCCGCGGUAA